This 2621-nucleotide ribosomal RNA is filed under the name Chloropicon mariensis. Its description in RNAcentral is "large subunit ribosomal RNA". It matches the Rfam family "Bacterial large subunit ribosomal RNA". The record is from RNAcentral. Lineage: Eukaryota; Viridiplantae; Chlorophyta; Chloropicophyceae; Chloropicales; Chloropicaceae.
UAAAGGUUCUUAAGAAAAACCUAGACAAAAAAAAGAAAACGGACGUAGAAAUAUGAUAAGGAAUAUUGAGGGUAAAACCGUAGACGUAUUUCAUUCCGAAGGAAAACCAGGAAGAUAAAAACUUAGGGAAUUGAAACAUCUUAGUACCUAAGGAUAAAAAUCAACCGAGUUUUUGUGAGUAGUGGCGAAUGAAAGCAAAAAAAAAGGCUAAAAAGUUUAAAAGAUCUUAUAUAAAACCGUAGAAAAGGUUGCAAAAACAUGUGCAAGCCAUGUAAUAUAAGAGAAAAACUAAAAAAGAGUAGGGCGUUGAAACAGAUGUCUGAAUUUAGGGGGACCGCCCUCUAAGCCUUAAAUAAUUUUUUUUGAUCGAUAGUGAACAAGUACCGUGAGGGAAAAGGUGAAAAUUUCCCCUGAUAAGGGUUUGAAAAAGUAAGAAUUUGAGAACUGGCAAACAGUAGAUCGAUUAAAAAGUUAAAAGAUCUAUGUACUUUUUGCAUAACGGAUCAGCGACUUAGUCUUUAAAGCGGGCUUAAACAAUAAUGUGAAAGCAAAAAGAAAUUAAAAAAGGUUUUAAAGAAAAGACCCGAACCUAAGUGAUCUAAAUAUGAGCAGGUUGAAGCUUCAUGAAAGUGAGGUGGAGGACUGAACCCACGAUUGUUGCAAUACUCGGGGAAGACUUGUGUUUAGGGGUGAAAGGCCAAACAAACUUAGAGCUAGCUGGUUUUCUCCGAAAUCUAUUGAGGUAGAGCCCUUUUUUAAUAUCUUAUGGGGUAGAGCACUUCAUGGGUGUGGGGGGCGUAAAGCUUUACCAUUUCCAAGAAAACUCCGAAUACGUAAGAUAGAAAAAGGAGACAGGCUUUGGGCGCAAAGGUGCAGAGCCAAGAGGGAAAGAGCCCAGAUUACAAUCUAAGGUCUUAAAUCUCUUCCUGAGUGUGAAAGGAAUAAUGUGUGCGAAACCAACUGAAGGGUGGGCUUAGAGGCAGCCAUCCGGUAAAGGAAAGCGUAACUGCUCAUUGGCUUAGCCGCACUUGACCAAAAAUGUAACGAGUCUCAAGGAAGAAACCGAAGAUAUAAAUAACUUGGUAGGAGAACGUUGUGUAUGUCGUAGACGAUCAUUUUUGAAAAUAGAUCAUAGACUUCACAAGUGACUAUGCUGAUAUAAGUAACGAUAAAUCAUGUGAAAUGCAUGAUCACCGAAACUCCAAGGUUUUCUACGUCAUGUGAAUCUGCGUAGAGUUAAACGGCCCCUAAGAGUAAGCCGAAAGGAUAUCUCGAUGGGAAAUUAUUUUGAAAGAUUUAUAAAAAGUCUUAGGUUUUUUCGUUGGAGAAAAAAACUCGAGUAUUUUAUAAGCAGGAAAAACCAAAAUACAAAAACCGUACCGGAAACCGACACUGGUGGAGGAGUAGAAAUCUACGAAGGUGAUCGAAAGAACCAUUUUUAAGGAACUCGGCAAAAUGACUCCGUAACUUCGGGAUAAGGAGGGCCUUAUUAAUAUUUAUAUUAUUAAGGUGGCACGAAAUCGGGGGUAGCAACUGUUUAACAAAAACACAUGACUUUGCGAAGUUGUAAAACGCUGUAUAAGGUCUGACACCUGCCCGGUGCCGAAAACUAAAAGGGAAAGGUGAAUUAUUUUUAUAAAUAUGGAGCUUCAAACUGAUUGUUCGGUAAACGGCGGUCGUAACUCUAACGAUCCUAAGGUAGCGAAAUUCCUUGUCCACUAAUUAUGGACCUGCAUGAAUGGUGUAAUGACUGCCCCGCUGUCUCAAAAAUGGAUUCGGUGAAAUUGAAUUCUCCGUGAAGAUGCGGAGUAUUAGCACCUAGACGGGAAGACCCUGUGCUUCUUUACUAUAACCUUUUAUUGAAUUCUGGUUUUUCUUGUGUAGAAUAAGUGGGAGUUUUAUUUAUUUAUGAUUUAUCAUAAAUAAAUAAAGCGUCAGUGAAAUACCACUCUUGGUCUACUGGAAGUCUAACCUUAAUCUUAAGGAACAUUGAAUGGUGGGUAGUUUGACUGGGGUGGUCACCUCCUAAAGCGUAACGGAGGUGUACGAAGGUAAGUUCAAAUGGUUUAGAAACCCAUUUUUGAGUUUAAUGGCAUAAACUUGCUUGACUGUGAGAUAGACAUAUCUAGCAGGGACGAAAGUCGGUCAUAGUGAUCCGGGAGUACUUUGUGGAAAGGCUCUCGCUCAACGAAUCAAAGAAACGCCAGGGAUAACAGGCUAAUAACUCCCAAGAGUUCUUAUCGACGGAGUUGUUUGGCACCUCGAUGUUGAUUCAUUGCGUCCUGGGGGUGCAGAAGCUCCCAAGGGUUCGGCUGUUCGCCGAUUAAAGCAGUACGUGAGUUGAGUUCAGAACGUUGUGAAACAGUUCGGUUCCUAUCUAGUGUUAAUGACGAAAAAUUAAAAGGAUUUCUCUCUAGUACGAGAGGACCGAGAUUAAGCAGACCUAUGGUUUAUCGGUUGUAUUGCCCUAUGCAUCGCCGACUCGCUACGUCUGCAAGAAUAACUGCUGAUAGCAUAUAAGCGGGAAAUCUUCCUUAAAACUUAUUUUUACUUGCGUAGAAGACUACUACGUCGAUAGGCAAUUUAAGUUCUUUAGUAAUAAAGAAACUUUUUUGUACUAA